GAUAUGGCUCAGGACGAACGCUGGCGGCGCGCCUAACACAUGCAAGUCGAACGAGCGAGAGAGAGCUUGCUUUCUCGAGCUAGUGGCGAACGGGUGAGUAACGCGUGAGGAACCUGCCUCAAAGAGGGGGACAACAGUUGGAAACGACUGCUAAUACCGCAUAAGCCCACGACCCGGCAUCGGGAAGAGGGAAAAGGAGCAAUCCGCUUUGAGAUGGCCUCGCGUCCGAUUAGCUGGUUGG
Molecule: ribosomal RNA, 241 nt
Filed under: uncultured bacterium
Lineage: Bacteria
Description: partial 16S ribosomal RNA
Rfam family: Bacterial small subunit ribosomal RNA
Source: RNAcentral